AUGUCCCGUUAUCGAGGACCUCGUUUAAAAAAAAUACGCCAUCUAGGAGCUUUACCAGGACUCACUAGAAAAACACCUAAAUCCGGAAGUAAUCUUAAAAAAAUCAAUUCUGGGAAAAAGGAGCAAUAUCGUAUUCGUCUUCAAGAAAAACAGAAAUUGCAUUUUCAUUAUGGUCUGACAGAACGACAAUUACUUAGAUAUGUACAUAUCGCUGGAAAAGCAAAAAGGUCAUCAGGCCAGGUUUUACUACAAUUACUUGAAAUGCGUUUGGAUAAUAUCCUUUUUCGAUUGGGUAUGGCUUCAACCAUUCCUGGGGCCCGCCAAUUAGUCAACCAUAGACAUAUUUUAGUUAAUGGUUCUAUAGUCAAUAUACCAAGUUUUCGUUGCAAACCCAGAGAUAUUAUUACUAUGAAAGAUAACCAAAGAUCAAAAGGUCUGGUUCAAAAUUAUAUUGCUUCAUCGGACCCGGGGAAAUUACCAAAGCAUUUGGCGAUUGACACGUUGGAAUAUAAAGGACUAGUAAAUAAAAUCCUAGAUAGGAAGUGGGUCGGUCUCAAAAUAAAUGAGUUGUUAGUUGUAGAAUAUUACUCUCGUCGGACUUGA
This 603-nucleotide ribosomal RNA is filed under the name Triticum aestivum (bread wheat). RNAcentral describes it as "partial small subunit ribosomal RNA". Lineage: Eukaryota; Viridiplantae; Streptophyta; Magnoliopsida; Poales; Poaceae. The record is from RNAcentral.